RNAcentral lists this long non-coding RNA (1607 nucleotides) under Homo sapiens (human). RNAcentral's name for it is "HSALNT0306870". The record is from RNAcentral. Lineage: Eukaryota; Metazoa; Chordata; Mammalia; Primates; Hominidae.
AGCCGUGGGGGAGGGGAAAGGGCGCGCGGCCUCGGAUGCGCAGACCCUGGGCCGGCGACUCGGGGACCCUGCUCCCUCUUAGCUAAAAAUGACGUCGGCGUUCAGCUCCUCCAACCUCACGUGGACAGGCGAGGGAACCGAGACCCAGAGAGGGCAGGGGACUUUGGCAAACUCACACAGCCCACCGCAGGCAACUGGAACUGAAACCCAGGACUCCGUCUCUUGCCAGUGAAAGUUAUGUUAGGAAGCAGUGAGGGGUCUAAAGCAGUAUGAAAGGCAAAGAGAAAAGGUGAUUGUUCCCUCUUGAAUGGCCCUUGGAAGCUGAGUAUCUGGAUUCACCCUCCCUAGGGAAUUUCCCGAUUGUCUUGCAGGCUUACACACUCAUCAAGAUGACAAAAAUAAUGACAGUAACACUUAUGUGGAACUUGACUUUUUCCCAGGUGCUGCUCUAAGCAUUUACUGUGUUUGUUUUACAGGAAGGAAGACUGUACACAGAGAAUAAAUAACUUGGCCAAGCCAUUCAGCUAGGAAGUUGUAGAUCCUAAAUUAAGAGUUCAAGGUCUUAAUGGCUACUCUAUGCGGCCUCUCAUAGUCUUUUCAAGGGUUUUGGAGAAGAAUAAAAGAUCAGGCAUUGCUUUUGAACUCAGUCAUCUUUUCCCCCUUGCCCACUAGUUGCUUGUGAUACAUCAGUAUCCUCACUCACCCCCAACUCCAGAGGCUGAAACUAACUCUCCUCCUCCCUCUUCCAACUGCUGAGGAAGAUGAGUCAAUGGUGUUACUGGACCCUGUGAACUGAUGCUGUGAAGAGAGGCCAUUUAACACGGACUACGGGGAAUGGUGCCACAGGGGGCUCAGUGCUGCCCUUCACUCUCAGCAUUUUGCUCACUCAGCAUUGAUGACAGGAUGUCCCAAAAGUAACAAAAGAUGGGAGCCAGUCCUCUCAUAGCUGUUUCUUCAAUCAUCCCAUCAACAGCUCUUCAUUUAUUGAACUACCUUCCUUUUCCAAAGAGGUAAUGCUGAGAUCAGUCAGAAAGGCUUUCUGAGAAAACUGGCUUGGAUUUCUGGGUCUGUUGCAGUCAAUUCAAGAUGAACUGGCUUGUAUCAAUGAAGCGCUCAAUGCAGUUCACAAAACAGGCCUCAGCCCGACUGUCCAACUUUGGCCCAGGCUUGUCCAUGCACUUCUCCCAACAAAGUUCAGUCAUCUGGUGCACCAGCUGCUGGAAGCGCUGCUUUUGAGUCUCUACCUCAAUGAAAAUGCUGCAACUGCGGGUCCACUGCACCCAAACCCGCCGCAGAGGAAGAGCAGGAGGAAUCCAUCCCAGGACAACCAUGCUUGCAGAGACGAACUCCGCACCAACCUUCACGUGUCUCCACGACCUAGUUAAUCAAUUUAAAAUGAGGUCACUAGGGUGGGCCCCAAUCCAAUAUGACUGAUAACUUUAUAAAAAGGAGAGAUUUGGAUACAGAAAGAGACAGAGUGAAAACCAUGUGAAGAAACAUAGGAAAAGAUGGCAGCUACAAGCCAAGGAGAAGCUUGCAGUGUGUAUUCAUCUGUUCUCAUGCUGUUAAUAAAGACAUACCUGAGACUGGGUAAUUUAUAAAGGAAA